GAAACGUGGUCGCUUGGGUCGCCGAGCGAGAUGACUGGGUGCGCCCAGAUAAACAAGUCAGACACGCAGUCGGUAGUAAGGGAUGGGCCCAAAACGGCAGGGCCAAGGCGAGGGAGCAUUUUUGUUACCGAAAAGCCCCUGAAGCAAUAAUUGAAGAACAUUAGGUUAGCUGAAAAGCAUUUGGCUCGCUGAGAAGGUCGGCUUGGGUGUUUUGUGUUUGCAGGGCAGCACCUGUUGUAAUGUCCCUGCCUGUAGACGUUUUACCCCCACACCUCCAUUUUUUAAACAUUUUUCUCGCAUGGAGAAUUGGUUGGUGAUUUGGCCGGCUAGAGGUAUCCGAUUGAUCUGCUGCUGAUGCUCCAUCUAGGUUUCAGGAUCCGACCGGACCUCUGUGUGACUGAAAUGAACCAUCUGUUACCUUCGAAUACAAGUGAGGAAAAGGUCGAGUGAAGACAAUAGAUUAAUCCCUUUGGCAACAGGCAUCGGGCUAAAUACUGAGCCUACAAAGUGAGUGCAAUACUGUCCCUGCCUUCAAGAAGCUUACAAGCUAGUAGAGGACACGGGCAUGUAAAUACAUAAGCACAGUUGAGAGAGAUGCUUGCGAUAAAGAGAGACAUGCAGGGAGCUGGAAUAGAGGAAUUGAAGGGGUUGGUAGAGCACAAGGGGACCGCCGCGUGUUGAGGAGGGAAUGCAGGGUGUGAAGAAAGAAUACUUAAGAUGCUCCUUCUUGCCACCCCGUCACAGUCCAUUAUCUGCCUGGCUGCUGCAGCGCAGAUAUAGCGUGAAUGACAAAAUAAAGCCACUGCGUGUGCCCGUGGUUCCUCACCCUGGACACCUACACUUGGAGUGUGGAAUUCUAACUCUUUCGCCUGGUAUGUGAGACUCGGCCUAAGCUGGCUUCCCGCCCAGAUUUAUCUAUUGCCACUCUCCUCCAGACCGCCUUUCUCACUGACUCGACUGGUCGGAACGGAAUGUGUUCUCAACACGCUGCGGCUUUUCCUUGCUCCUGGGAUGCCCUCCCCAUUGCAGGGUCUCCCUGUCAGGGUUCAGCCAAAAUGGAACAACCUCUCUGAAGUCUUCCUCAAUGUCACCUUCCGUCUGGGGGAAUGAGCACACAAAAGGCCAAAGGCACCUGCAUCAGGCAGCUGGGAGGAGCUCAUUUCUAAACAGCUUGAACCUAGGGGCGCCUGGGUGGCUCAGUUGGUUGAGCGUCCGACUUCGGCUCAGGUCACGAUCUCCCGGUUCAUGGGUUCGAGCCCCGCAUCGGGGCUCUAUGCCGACAGCUGGGAGCCUGGAGCCUGCUUUCAGAGUCUUCUUCUCCCUCUCUCUCUCUGCCCCUCCCCCGCUCACACUCUGUCUCUCUCUGCCUCUCAAAAAAAAUAAAUAAAUGUUUAAAAAAAAAAUGUAAACACAAUGAACCUAUUAAGAAAGUCAGAAACACGGUGCAAAAAAACAAAUACCAUCAAUCAAGACUGUGUUAUGAACUUUGAAUAACUGUGAUUUGAGAUGCACAUUCCUGGAACAAGCAAUGACAAACCGGUCAUAGGUCCAUGUAAACAAGGAGACAGCACAGGCCCAGGGCCCGGACCAUGAGAGAAGAGGAAGAUUAGCACGUUUUCAAAGCAUUUCCCUCAUCUGCCAGGAGUUUAAUCUGGGAAAGGUUGGAAUUAAAUUCUGGACCAUACUGUUUGUCACUCCAUAUAACUGUAUUUAAACGUAUAUUAAAGUUAAAUGAAUAGUAAACUCUGUAAGCCUAUUUUAUGUUUUGAGUUUUAUGGUUUAUAAGUACUAAUUCCUGUUACCAUGAUAAAGUCAUGAGUUGAAAGUGCUAAUUCAAAUAUUUUUUCAAGUUUAUUUAUUUAUUUUGAGAGAGAGAGAGACAGAGCAUGAGCAGGGGAGGGGCAGAGAGAGAGAG
Felis catus (domestic cat) is the source of this 1915-nucleotide long non-coding RNA. RefSeq lists it as uncharacterized. Lineage: Eukaryota; Metazoa; Chordata; Mammalia; Carnivora; Felidae. The record is from RefSeq and is a predicted model, not a curated record. The transcript has 3 exons.